ACAGACGAGGAGCUUGCUCCUCUGACGUUAGCGGCGGACGGGUGAGUAACACGUGGAUAACCUACCUAUAAGACUGGGAUAACUUCGGGAAACCGGAGCUAAUACCGGAUAAUAUAUUGAACCGCAUGGUUCAAUAGUGAAAGACGGUUUUGCUGUCACUUAUAGAUGGAUCCGCGCCGCAUUAGCUAGUUGGUAAGGUAACGGCUUACCAAGGCAACGAUGCGUGGCCGACCUGAGAGGGUGAUCGGCCACACUGGAACUGAGACACGGUCCAGACUCCUACGGGAGGCAGCAGUAGGGAAUCUUCCGCAAUGGGCGAAAGCCUGACGGAGCAACGCCGCGUGAGUGAUGAAGGUCUUCGGAUCGUAAAACUCUGUUAUUAGGGAAGAACAAAUGUGUAAGUAACUAUGCACGUCUUGACGGUACCUAAUCAGAAAGCCACGGCUAACUACGUGCCAGCAGCCGCGGUAAUACGUAGGUGGCAAGCGUUAUCCGGAAUUAUUGGGCGUAAAGCGCGCGUAGGCGGUUUUUUAAGUCUGGUGUGAAAGCCCACGGCUCAACCGUGGAGGGUCAUUGGAAACUGGAAAACUUGAGUGCAGAAGAGGAAAGUGGAAUUCCAUGUGUAGCGGUGAAAUGCGCAGAGAUAUGGAGGAACACCAGUGGCGAAGGCGACUUUCUGGUCUGUAACUGACGCUGAUGUGCGAAAGCGUGGGGAUCAAACAGGAUUAGAUA
This 732-nucleotide ribosomal RNA is filed under the name uncultured Staphylococcus sp. RNAcentral's name for it is "bacterial SSU rRNA". It matches the Rfam family "Bacterial small subunit ribosomal RNA", at positions 69 to 784 of the family's 1533-position model. Lineage: Bacteria; Bacillati; Bacillota; Bacilli; Caryophanales; Staphylococcaceae. The record is from RNAcentral.